Molecule: unclassified non-coding RNA, 240 nt
Filed under: Hevea brasiliensis (rubber tree)
Lineage: Eukaryota; Viridiplantae; Streptophyta; Magnoliopsida; Malpighiales; Euphorbiaceae
Source: RNAcentral
CUGCUGUCGGACGUCUACGAUGCGCCCGAAGCGCUGCGGCUCGGUCUCAUCAACCGCAUCGUGCCGCCGGCCGAUCUCGCCAGUGAAACCGAAAAGCUGGCGCGCCGUCUCGCGGAUGGGCCGACAUUCGNNNNNNNNCGCUGCUACGUGGCUCGCUCGACAAUUCCUUGCACGAUCAAAUGGAAGCCGAGGCAAAGGCGUUUGGCGCGUGCAUCGGUACGAAGGAUUUUGCCGAGGGUG